GAUGAACGCUAGCGGCAGGCCUAAUACAUGCAAGUCGAACGGUAAGGCCCUUUCGGGGGUACACGAGUGGCGGACGGGUGCGUAACGCGUAUGCAACAUGCCUUCCAGCGGGGGAUAUACCAGGGAAACUUGGCGCAAUACCCCAUAGAAUUACGGGACCGCAUGGUCUUGUGAUUAAAACUCCGGUGCUGGGAGAUUGGCAUGCGUGACAUUAGCUAGUUGGCGGGGUAACGGCCCACCAAGGCGACGAUGUCUAGCUGGUCUGAGAGGAUGAUCAGCCACACUGGGACUGAGACACGGCCCAGACUCCGUACGGGAGGCAGCAGUAGGGAAUAUUGGACAAGUCGGGGGGAACCCUGAUCCAGCCAUGCCGCGUGAGGGAAGAAGGUCCUC
This 393-nucleotide ribosomal RNA is filed under the name uncultured bacterium. Its description in RNAcentral is "bacterial SSU rRNA". It matches the Rfam family "Bacterial small subunit ribosomal RNA", at positions 28 to 419 of the family's 1533-position model. The record is from RNAcentral.